This 484-nucleotide ribosomal RNA is filed under the name Diutina rugosa. Its description in RNAcentral is "eukaryotic LSU rRNA". It matches the Rfam family "Eukaryotic large subunit ribosomal RNA", at positions 63 to 508 of the family's 3401-position model. The record is from RNAcentral. Lineage: Eukaryota; Fungi; Ascomycota; Pichiomycetes; Serinales; Debaryomycetaceae.
ACCCAAUUGGGAUUGCCUCAGUAACGCGCGAGUGAAGCGGCAACAGCUCAAAUUUGAAAGCCCGCGGGCGUUGUAAUUUGCAGGCGGAUGUUUUGGGGCGGGCGCUGUCUACGUUCCUUGGAACAGGACGCCGCAGAGGGUGAGAGCCCCGUGCGAUGGCGCCUCCAACCGCGUAAAACUCCGCCGACGAGUCGAGUUGUUUGGGAAUGCAGCUCCAAGUGGGUGGUAAAUUCCAUUCUAAAGCUAAAUACUGGCGAGAGACCGAUAGCGAAACAAGUACAGUGAUGGAAAGAUGAAAAGCACUUUGAAAAGAGAGUGAAACAGCACGUGAAAUUGUUGAAAGGGAAGGGUAUGCGAUUAGCGGCCAGCAGGAGGUGCCUUCUCGUGAAAAGGCCGUGCACCGUCUUCGGACACCGUGCGCGGAGAUGGCGAGGGGGCGCCUGAGGUCUGCGACUCGAGGUUGCUGGCGUAAUGAUUAUACCCC